Neofelis nebulosa (Clouded leopard) is the source of this 646-nucleotide long non-coding RNA. RefSeq lists it as uncharacterized. NCBI's taxonomy places the organism in Eukaryota, Metazoa, Chordata, Mammalia, Carnivora, Felidae. The record is from RefSeq and is a predicted model, not a curated record. The transcript is spliced from 2 exons.
CGUACCGCGGCGAGCCAAGCUCCGGCUUCCAGUAUCUCUCACAGCUUAAUCUCCCUUUUCCUCACCUCCAACAAAUUAGAUUCUAGUUACUGCAGAUGCAGACCAUGAUGAAGGUCGGACUGAGGUAGAAAGUCUAUAACAAAUCAGCACGAAGCCAUGAAGGUUUAUGUCCAAUCCAUGUGAUGUGUCCAUCUCAAGUCAACAAGAUGGUCUCUGCUCUAUGCUGUCUUCACUCAGGGCCCUGGAUGGUGGAUACCCACCUAUGUGCUACCAUGACAGCUGAGACAAGAAAAAAAGGAAUGUGGUAGCUAUGCAUUAUUAAUAAUGACAUAUAUCACUUCCAUGAAUUUCUUCUGGGCCAUGGAGUCCCAUGGCCACACCUAACUUGAAGGAAAAGUAUAAUUUUCUCUUUUCCCAGACAGCAAACCUGGUAAACAGCAUAGAAACCUUGAAGGACAACUCCAGCUAUUUGUCUCUCACCUCACUUACAGAAAGUUCGAGGAGGUGUACAUAUAGACAGUAAUCAUUCACUGUCUUGUUCCUAAUUAAUCACUUUAUUCUCUUUCCAUUUCUUUGCAUUCAGCCAUCCAAUCAUGUAUUGAGUGUAAUAGUACAUGUUAGGCAGUAUAUACAACAAAUAAUAAUU